GAUGAACGCUGGCGGCGUGCCUAAUACAUGCAAGUCGAGCGAACUGAUUAGAAGCUUGCUUCUAUGACGUUAGCGGCGGACGGGUGAGUAACACGUGGGCAACCUGCCUGUAAGACUGGGAUAACUUCGGGAAACCGAAGCUAAUACCGGAUAGGAUCUUCUCCUUCAUGGGAGAUGAUUGAAAGAUGGUUUCGGCUAUCACUUACAGAUGGGCCCGCGGUGCAUUAGCUAGUUGGUGAGGUAACGGCUCACCAAGGCAACGAUGCAUAGCCGACCUGAGAGGGUGAUCGGCCACACUGGGACUGAGACACGGCCCAGACUCCUACGGGAGGCAGCAGUAGGGAAUCUUCCGCAAUGGACGAAAGUCUGACGGAGCAACGCCGCGUGAGUGAUGAAGGCUUUCGGGUCGUAAAACUCUGUUGUUAGGGAAGAACAAGUACAAGAGUAACUGCUUGUACCUUGACGGACCUAA
This 472-nucleotide ribosomal RNA is filed under the name Bacillus sp. ITRH41. RNAcentral describes it as "bacterial SSU rRNA". It matches the Rfam family "Bacterial small subunit ribosomal RNA", at positions 28 to 482 of the family's 1533-position model. The record is from RNAcentral. Lineage: Bacteria; Bacillati; Bacillota; Bacilli; Caryophanales; Bacillaceae.